CGCGAUCUAGGCUUAAUGCAACCUCGUCUCCCGGGUUCAAGCGAUUUUCCCGCCCCAGUCUCCCGAGUAACUGUGACUGCAGCUCUGGAUUAAUCGAAUUACAGCUGCUAGCCAGGAACAUGGACUGAAGUAUCCAGCGCUCAUUGGGAAUUUAGUUAAGUGCCAGGUGGAGCUCAACAGGAAAGUCCUAGCGGAUCUGGCCAUCUACGAGCCAAAGACUUUCAAAUCUUUGGCUGCCUUGGCCAGUAGGAGGCGACACGAAGGAUUUGCUGCUGCCUUGGGGGAUGGGAAGGAACCUGAAGGCAUUUUUUCCAGAGUGGUGCAGUACCACUGAGGACUGUUGCUGUAUUGAUUAGGAAAAGAGACAGAGUAAUUUGCAGUUUGUUUGAUUUAUACUUUUGUUUAUCUACAACCCAAUAACAGACAUGAGGGAUGGCCCUGUCUCUCUGGGACAGAGCCUCACAGAUGAUGUCCAUGUUUUGUGUGAAUGAAACUCAAACACUC
RNAcentral lists this long non-coding RNA (504 nucleotides) under Homo sapiens (human). RNAcentral describes it as "non-protein coding lnc-CCNL2-3:2". The record is from RNAcentral. Lineage: Eukaryota; Metazoa; Chordata; Mammalia; Primates; Hominidae.